Molecule: long non-coding RNA, 250 nt
Organism: Sander lucioperca (pikeperch)
Lineage: Eukaryota; Metazoa; Chordata; Actinopteri; Perciformes; Percidae
Exons: 3
Source: RefSeq, a predicted model, not a curated record
AUUAAGCAGGGCUCAACAUUAAAAAAAAUCCAUGGAAAAUCCAUAAUGAUAACUAGAUAGGCUACUUAACUAGAAAAUGAUCUCAGAUUAGGGGGCAGUUCACUGAGGAGUGAUGGUUAAGGUCUUGAUUACUGAAACAUAAUCAGUGUCCUGAUUGGUGGAAAAUGCUUGCAGAAAGUAAGGCCUGUUGUCAGGUAAACAUGUCACUGUCAAAGAGCCUGAAGCCAAAAGUUUACGUGGGAAAGCCCAA